UCCCUGGUGGUCCAGUGGUUAAAACUCUGCACUUCCAAUGCAGAGGUCCCAGGUUCGAUCCCUGGUCAGGCAA
Molecule: non-coding RNA, 73 nt
Organism: Capra hircus (goat)
Lineage: Eukaryota; Metazoa; Chordata; Mammalia; Artiodactyla; Bovidae
Source: the annotation of a RefSeq genome assembly